UUCCCACAUAGGUUGUCAUUUUUUCUUUUUGCUUCUUUUUCUUUUCUUUUCAUUAAUAUUUUCAAAGAUCUAUGGGAAAGGAGAGCACUUAAGAGAGGUUAGAAGGGUUUCCUAAGUUCCGAUUGGUUUUUUUCUCAAGUGUAUGAGGUUCUGUGCAAGUUAUGGUGGUGUGAGUUGGUUCCUUAAGGUUUUGAGAGAUUAAUCUUGGUAGAAGCAUGAUAUUUUGUAGGGUUGGAGACAUGGUAGAGGUGAAUGAAGGCCCCUAUAGAAUUUUUUUUUUAACUAUAUAGGGAUUUCAGGUAUAUCCGACCCGAUCCGACCCAACCCAUUCUUGGAGUCCGACCUGACCUGACCCAAGACGGGUACAGGAAGAGUAGGGUAUGGAUUUUAUCUGGUGGGGCAGGUACGAAUAUUGGUUGAUCCAACCCA
This 429-nucleotide long non-coding RNA is filed under the name Elaeis guineensis (African oil palm). RNAcentral describes it as "long non-coding RNA (EGUI_LNC080536)". The record is from RNAcentral. Lineage: Eukaryota; Viridiplantae; Streptophyta; Magnoliopsida; Arecales; Arecaceae.